GCUUGGUGGAGAGCAACAGAAGGCUUUGAAGGGGAAAGUUGAGCUGAAUCUUGCAGGAUGGGCAGGAGUUUCCCAGUCAGAAGGGACUCUGGAAUAGGGUGAAGAAGGACAUUUCAGGCAGAGGAAGUAGCUUACGCAAAGGCAGGAAGCAUGGGAGGAUGUGGCAUGUUUGGGGAGCUGCAAAUAGUUUCAUGUGGGUGUGUGGGGGGGUGUGGCGGGUGAGGAGGCUGGCAAGGCGGGCUGGGCCAGAGCCUGGAUCCGUCCGUCCCUCUGCCAUGCAGACACUCAGUUGGUGCCUGCCCAUCUGGGCUCUGGCCCCUGCUGGGGCCUGAGGCUGCAGAAAGGGAGUGCAAGGUGAGUGUGUGGGCAGAUUAAUGCAGUUAUUAUGUGGGCCACUCCAAAAGAGCCUUGCCUAUUGGCUUGUGAAUUUAGUUUCAUCCUAGAGGUAAAUUGGGAGCCAUUGAGAGGUUCUGAGCAAGAUGACCACAUGUGUUCUGGUGUCUUUUGGCUACUGAAGAGGAUGUUGAGCUGGGAGUCCCAUAAGGCCUGCUGAAGCGUUCCCAGGAAAGACCCUGGAACUCAAACCCAGGCAAGCCAGCUGUAGAAAGGAAGAGAAUAAGUGACCUUUCAUCCGUUUCUCCACGUGACUUAUGUAGAUGUUUCUUUUGCACAGCACAGGUUGGUAGGGUCAGGGACAUGAAGAUAGGCUUUGUGGCAGGCAGUGUCUCUUGGCUUGUCAGCAGGAGGCCUGCCAGAUAACUUCCUGCCUAUCUGGUCAUUCUCAAGUCUUGGCGUGUGAGUAGGGCAGUUCCACCAUCUAGAGACAAGAGAUGGUAUUGCAGUGAUCUCCUGUGCCUCCGGGGGGGGGGCGGGGGGGGAGGUGGGAGGAGCUUCAGGCCAAAAGAAGUGACUGUGUGCAAGGUAGACUUGUGGAGGGCAAGAGAGUUUACAGCAAAAUACUGGGGGAGAAGAGAGUGCCACUGAGCCACGCUGAAAGGCUCUUCAAGAGGGUAUUUGAACCGGAAGGACAGGCAGGGAGGAGCUGCAUAUUCAGAGGUUUGGGUGGUCGGGCAUUCUAGGCCAUGGACAGUUGUUUGGACUGUGUCAUAGCUACUAAUAACCACAAUUAUGGGGCAUUUGCUGAAUGCUGGACCCAGGCUAAGCUCUCGUGAAGUUUCUUGUUUAAUAUGGCAGUUCUGUAAGUAGAUAUUGAGGAACUGGGGCUCCCAGAACCCAAGGGACUUGUCUAGAAUCACACGACUCAGAUUCGCACCGUGGCCUGCCUCUCUCAAGCUGUGUUUCUGACCACUACACCCGGUUGCCUGCUACUAAAGCUCUGAGCCAGGUUUGGAUGCCAUAGGCUUCAAGGGGGCUGCAAGGGGACCAGAGCUGCAGACAGUUGAGGGUGACCGUUAGGGUCUGCUUAGAAGUGAGAGCCUGGAAUAGGUGCCCAAGUCCCAGGCAAACUGUGACUAAAAGGAAGGCCUGGGUUGGCCUGAGUAGAGGAGGCCAUUCAGGGCUGAGAAACCCCCAGGGGAUUUCAGAGAGGGCUUGGAAAGGGCUGUAAUGGGAGGGAGAGGUGAGAACAGGUAAUAAUGACUUCACAGUGCUGGGAAGGAGGGCUGGGGAGAGGAGUAAGUGGAGGUAGAGGGAGAAGCCUGUUUAAACUUAGGGGUCAUCCCUGUGAAGGUGAACUGCUGGCAAAAAAAAUUUUUUUGCGGUAGGUAGGGAGAAAGGAGCCUUUAGAGUUGAGCAAAACCCAGGAUUGAGGGUACAAGGUCUGUGCUGAAUCUCUUGGAUUCAAGAUCUUAUGUCUCUGAGGGCCCAGUCUGAAGGCUGGUACAGACUUAGGCACCUGGAAAGCUGACGUGGGAAACAGGUAGCAGUAGGUGAGACAAAGUGAGGCCUCUUGAUGCCAGGAGGAGAAAUGAGUACUGGGCCUUGCAGCCUUCAUUCAGUCCUAGGAAGUGUUGGAGGCUCACAUAGGAGCCUUACAUGGCUGAGGUUUCUGGGAGCCAGAGGAGGGAAAUUAGGUAGGGAGGCGAGCAGAGUGGGAAGUGCAGGCACUAGCAACCUACAGAGAUUUGGAGGGGAACCAGUGGUCUUGGCUUUUAGCCAGGAAGGGACUUAGGAAGUGGGAUAGGUCCCUGGAUGGGCCAUGGGUUGCAGAAGAAGUCUAGAGGCUCUGGUGAUGGUAGCUGGCCCUGCCAGAGGGAUGGGGAGGAUGAUCUCUUCACAGAAUUUCACCAGCAACCCAGAUGUCAGUGAUCCCAAUCCUAUGUCCUGACAGGUGCUUCCUGCAGCCCCUCCGCAGCCACUUGCCAGGUCCUGACCCUGCAAGCAUGUGUGUAAACACACACACACAUGUUCUUGCUUUCCUAGGGCAUGACUGUGGAGGGCUCUGAGCUCUUUAUUACCACUCCUCAGUUUUGCUCCCUUGCCUGCCAUAAUUUCUCUGCCUGUAAAGCCUGCUCUUCUCCAGGAGAUAGGAGGGAAAUUAGCUAAUAGGAUUUCGCUGGACCCAGGCUGCAGGAUCAGCCACUGUACAGUUCUGCUGGUGGCCCUGGGGCGUGGGGGCUGACAGAGGGUCUCAUGGUGGGGUGGAAGGGCCCCCUUAGUGGAGCCAUGUGGAGGGUGAUGGUUCAGAGGUCCUCUCCGCCCUUCCCUCUCCUGGCCUCCAGAAGGGCAGAGACCAAGUCUAACCCCUCACUAUGAUCCCUGGGUUUCCACAGGGCAUGGCAUGUUUGUUGAAGGAAUAGAUGAGAGUCCUGUGGUACGAUGCCACAGGCAGGGGCCAUAGGUGGGUUCCAGUAAGAAAAUAGCUAGCUGUGUCCUGGUAUCUGGGGCUGCAUGGCUUGUCAGAGCUGCUGGUUCUUUUAGGCCUGAUCUGGCACAGCCCCAGGAGGAAGGAGGUCUGAGGGCCUCCUUCCUUUGGCCAACUCUCACACCCAUGCUUUGCUUCCCCAGGUGCCCCCUGAUAAGUGCCGAUGUGCCGUGGGCAGCAUCCUGAGUGAAGGUGAGGAAUCGCCCUCCCCUGAGCUCAUCGACCUCUACCAGAAAUUUGGCUUCAAGGUGUUCUCCUUCCCGGCACCCAGCCAUGUGGUGACAGCCACCUUCCCCUACACCACCAUCCUGUCCAUCUGGCUGGCUACCCGCCGUGUCCAUCCUGCCUUGGACACCUACAUCAAGGAGCGGAAGCUGUGUGCCUAUCCUCGGCUGGAGAUCUACCAGGAAGACCAGAUCCAUUUCAUGUGCCCACUGGCACGGCAGGGAGACUUCUAUGUGCCUGAGGUGAAGGAGACAGAGUGGAAAUGGCGGGGGCUUGUGGAGGCCAUUGACACCCAGGUGGAUGGCACAGGAGCUGACACAAUGAGUGACACGAGUUCUAUAAGCUUGGAAGUGAGCCCUGGCAGCCGGGAGACUUCAGCUGCCACACUGUCACCUGGGGCGAGCAGCCGUGGCUGGGAUGACGGUGACACCCGCAGCGAGCACAGCUACAGCGAGUCAGGUGCCAGCGGCUCCUCUUUUGAGGAGCUGGACUUGGAGGGCGAGGGGCCCUUAGGGGAGUCACGGCUGGACCCUGAGACUGAGCCCCUGGGGACUACCAAGUGGCCCUGGGAGCCCAGUGCCCCUGAGAAGGGCAAGGAGUAACCCAUGGCCUGCACCCUCCUGCAGUGCAGUUGCUGAGGAACUGAGCAGACUCUCCAGCAGACUCUCCAGCCCUCUUUCUCCUUCCUCUUGGGGAGGAGGGGUUCCUGAGGGACCUGACUUCCCCUGCUCCAGGCCUCUUGCUAAGCCUUCUCCUCACUGCCCUUUAGGCUCCCAGGGCCAGAGGAGCCAGGGACUAUUUUCUGCACCAGCCCCCAGGGCUGCCGCCCCUGUUGUGUCUUUUUUUCAGACUCACAGUGGAGCUUCCAGGACCCAGAAUAAAGCCAAUGAUUUACUUGUUUCA
This 3952-nucleotide small RNA is filed under the name Pan troglodytes (chimpanzee). RNAcentral describes it as "processed transcript". Lineage: Eukaryota; Metazoa; Chordata; Mammalia; Primates; Hominidae. The record is from RNAcentral.